CCUACGGGUGGCCGCAGUGGGGAAUAUUGGACAAUGGGGGGAACCCUGAUCCAGCCAUGCCGCGUGUGUGAAGAAGGCCCUCGGGUUGUAAAGCACUUUCAGUGAGGAAGAACGCCUGGUGGUUAAUACCCAUCAGGAAAGACAUCACUCACAGAAGAAGCACCGGCUAACUCCGUGCCAGCAGCCGCGGUAAUACGGAGGGUGCGAGCGUUAAUCGGAAUUACUGGGCGUAAAGCGCGCGUAGGUGGCUUGAUAAGCCGGUUGUGAAAGCCCCGGGCUCAACCUGGGAACGGCAUCCGGAACUGUCAAGCUAGAGUGCAGGAGAGGAAGGUAGAAUUCCCGGUGUAGCGGUGAAAUGCGUAGAGAUCGGGAGGAAUACCAGUGGCGAAGGCGGCCUUCUGGACUGACACUGACACUGAGGUGCGAAAGCGUGGGUAGCAAACAGGAUUAGAUACCCUAGUAGUC
Molecule: ribosomal RNA, 465 nt
Filed under: Vreelandella stevensii
Lineage: Bacteria; Pseudomonadati; Pseudomonadota; Gammaproteobacteria; Oceanospirillales; Halomonadaceae
Description: partial 16S ribosomal RNA
Rfam family: Bacterial small subunit ribosomal RNA
Source: RNAcentral